GGUUAAGCGACUAAGCGUACACGGUGGAUGCCCUGGCAGUCAGAGGCGAUGAAGGACGUGCUAAUCUGCGAUAAGCGCCGGUAAGGUGAUAUGAACCGUUAUAACCGGCGAUUUCCGAAUGGGGAAACCCAGUGUGAUUCGUCACACUAUCAUUAACUGAAUCCAUAGGUUAAUGAGGCGAACCGGGGGAACUGAAACAUCUAAGUACCCCGAGGAAAAGAAAUCAACCGAGAUUCCCCCAGUAGCGGCGAGCGAACGGGGAGGAGCCCAGAGCCUGAAUCAGCAUGUGUGUUAGUGGAAGCGUCUGGAAAGGCGCGCGAUACAGGGUGACAGCCCCGUACACAAAAGCGCAUGUGCUGUGAGCUCGAUGAGUAGGGCGGGACACGUGGUAUCCUGUCUGAAUAUGGGGGGACCAUCCUCCAAGGCUAAAUACUCCUGACUGACCGAUAGUGAACCAGUACCGUGAGGGAAAGGCGAAAAGAACCCCGGCGAGGGGAGUGAAAAAGAACCUGAAACCGUGUACGUACAAGCAGUGGGAGCACAGGUUUACCUGUGUGACUGCGUACCUUUUGUAUAAUGGGUCAGCGACUUAUAUUCUGUAGCAAGGUUAACCGAAUAGGGGAGCCGGAGGGAAACCGAGUCUUAACCGGGCGUUAAGUUGCAGGGUAUAGACCCGAAACCCGGUGAUCUAGCCAUGGGCAGGUUGAAGGUUGGGUAACACUAACUGGAGGACCGAACCGACUAAUGUUGAAAAAUUAGCGGAUGACCUGUGGCUGGGGGUGAAAGGCCAAUCAAACCGGGAGAUAGCUGGUUCUCCCCGAAAGCUAUUUAGGUAGCGCCUCGUGAA
RNAcentral lists this ribosomal RNA (847 nucleotides) under Salmonella enterica. RNAcentral describes it as "partial 23S ribosomal RNA". It matches the Rfam family "Bacterial large subunit ribosomal RNA", at positions 1 to 888 of the family's 2925-position model. The record is from RNAcentral. Lineage: Bacteria; Pseudomonadati; Pseudomonadota; Gammaproteobacteria; Enterobacterales; Enterobacteriaceae.